RNAcentral lists this long non-coding RNA (436 nucleotides) under Mytilus galloprovincialis (Mediterranean mussel). Lineage: Eukaryota; Metazoa; Mollusca; Bivalvia; Mytilida; Mytilidae. The record is from RNAcentral.
UGUUAUCUUCCCAUGCUUCAACAGAUGAUAGUGGUUUCAUUUAUUUACCAUUGAUGAAGACAAAAUAAGUUUCGUGUGCAUAUUCGGUUUUUUUCCCCUACUAAAUAUCAUUCAUCCUGCUCUGUGACUGGUGGUCUUUAUUAACACAUUGCCUCCAAAUGGUUAUCCACAAAUAAUUUUUGUUUUAAUUGCAUUUUUAAAUGUGCAUGUAGCUUUGCUUCUUUGAUUCUUAAAUUGACUAGUGUAUGUCUCUAUUUUUAAUAUAGAUCAGCUUUGAUAAUUUUCUGAUCACAAUGACAUACUAUCAUAGUAAAGGUGGAUACCUAUUAAAAACAUUUAACCUGCCGAGUUUGUUUGCACCUGUCCGUAGUCAGGAAUCUGAUGUUAAUUAGUUUGUUGAUGUGGUUCAUACAGGUGUUUCUCAUUUGUCGUUUUU